Molecule: transfer RNA, 66 nt
Filed under: Podagricomela nigricollis
Lineage: Eukaryota; Metazoa; Arthropoda; Insecta; Coleoptera; Chrysomelidae
Description: tRNA-Ile
Source: RNAcentral
UAUAAGGUGCCUGAUUAAAAGGAUAAUUUUGAUAGAAUUAAACAUGCAGUUUUCCUGCUCUUAUAA